UCAUGGCGGGUGGCGGUCAGCUGAGGGCAAGACCCCAGGGAGGAGAUGUGGCCCCCCAGUGAUGGAUGGAUCCCGAACAACGUUACAACAGCCCAGGGACUGAGUGGAGUGAAAGAAACCAGUCUGAAGUUGCUACAUAUGAUUCCUACUGUACGACAUUCUGGAAAAGUCACCAUGUUGGAAGGCAAUCCCAAGUCCAUGGAGAUGUUAUAUAAUGGUGUUCCAGACAAUAGUGCCAGCUAAUGACCCAGGACACAACAGAUUGGAACUGUCACAGGGUCACAGUUCCCUGAAGUCAAAAUAAUACAGUCAACUGUGAAGAACAACUGUUGUUACUGAAUCCAGAGAGAAACAUCUCCCGAGGAUUUCCAUAAAGAGAAUCCCUAUAGUGUGCCUGGGAUCCACAACCAGCAAGUGACUGAGUCAUCACUUCAUCCAAUUCUUCUGACUUUAGAUUCUUCUGCUUUCUCAAGUGUCGGAUUCCUGCCACAGGUUAGACAUAAGGUGAGACCAUGGGGUCCUGAGUGUCUGAGAGGAGGCAGAAAAUCUUGGAAGGAGAAGCUGGAGCUCAUAAGGUCAGAGCUCCUUGGAGUCACCAACAAACCUGCCUUCUCUUCCUCCCAAUUCUUUUGCAUGGAAUCUGACCUGGAUGAUGAAAGAUUCCUUCCCUUUCCUGUCUCAUCGCAGCCGAUAUGGUCUGGAGUGCAGCUUUGACUUCCCCUGUGAGCUGGAGUAUUCCCCUCCACUGCACAACCUUGGGAACCAGAGCUGGUCCUGGCGCCAUGUUUCUUCUGAGGAGGCCUCUCAGAUGGACCUGUUGGAUGGGCCUGAGGCGGAGCAUUCCAAGGAAAUGCCC
This is a non-coding RNA of Odocoileus virginianus texanus, 856 nucleotides long. NCBI's taxonomy places the organism in Eukaryota, Metazoa, Chordata, Mammalia, Artiodactyla, Cervidae. The record is from RefSeq and is a predicted model, not a curated record.